UACGUAGGGUGCGAGCGUUGUCCGGAAUUAUUGGGCGUAAAGAGCUCGUAGGCGGUGUGUCACGUCGGCCGUGAAAACCUGCAGCUUAACUGUGGGCGUGCGGUCGAUACGGGCAUCACUGGAGUUCGGCAGGGGAGACUGGAAUUCCUGGUGUAGCGGUGAAAUGCGCAGAUAUCAGGAGGAACACCGGUGGCGAAGGCGGGUAUCUGGGCCGAUACUGACGCUGAGGAGCGAAAGCGUGGGGAGCAAACAGG
This 254-nucleotide ribosomal RNA is filed under the name uncultured bacterium. RNAcentral describes it as "partial 16S ribosomal RNA". It matches the Rfam family "Bacterial small subunit ribosomal RNA", at positions 524 to 776 of the family's 1533-position model. The record is from RNAcentral.